Molecule: ribosomal RNA, 624 nt
Filed under: Klebsiella sp.
Lineage: Bacteria; Pseudomonadati; Pseudomonadota; Gammaproteobacteria; Enterobacterales; Enterobacteriaceae
Description: bacterial SSU rRNA
Rfam family: Bacterial small subunit ribosomal RNA
Source: RNAcentral
AGUCGAGCGGUAGCACAGAGAGCUUGCUCUCGGGUGACGAGCGGCGGACGGGUGAGUAAUGUCUGGGAAACUGCCUGAUGGAGGGGGAUAACUACUGGAAACGGUAGCUAAUACCGCAUAACGUCGCAAGACCAAAGUGGGGGACCUUCGGGCCUCAUGCCAUCAGAUGUGCCCAGAUGGGAUUAGCUGGUAGGUGGGGUAACGGCUCACCUAGGCGACGAUCCCUAGCUGGUCUGAGAGGAUGACCAGCCACACUGGAACUGAGACACGGUCCAGACUCCUACGGGAGGCAGCAGUGGGGAAUAUUGCACAAUGGGCGCAAGCCUGAUGCAGCCAUGCCGCGUGUGUGAAGAAGGCCUUCGGGUUGUAAAGCACUUUCAGCGGGGAGGAAGGCGGUGAGGUUAAUAACCUCAUCGAUUGACGUUACCCGCAGAAGAAGCACCGGCUAACUCCGUGCCAGCAGCCGCGGUAAUACGGAGGGUGCAAGCGUUAAUCGGAAUUACUGGGCGUAAAGCGCACGCAGGCGGUCUGUCAAGUCGGAUGUGAAAUCCCCGGGCUCAACCUGGGAACUGCAUUCGAAACUGGCAGGCUAGAGUCUUGUAGAGGGGGGUAGAAUUCCGGGUG